UGUUACUAAACUGAUCCACUACGGAAAAGGAGAAACUGGAACAUCAAAUCAGAUAUCAGGAAUGGCAAUAUACAAAAACCUGUAGGAGAGCACUUCACCUCCCUGGCC
This is a non-coding RNA of Chelonoidis abingdonii (Abingdon island giant tortoise), 108 nucleotides long. Lineage: Eukaryota; Metazoa; Chordata; Testudines; Testudinidae. The record is from RefSeq and is a predicted model, not a curated record.